UACAGAGGUCUCAAGCGUUGUUCGGAUUCAUUGGGCGUAAAGGGUGUGUAGGUGGCGCCGUAAGUCGGGUGUGAAAUUUCGGAGCUUAACUCCGAAACUGCAUUCGAUACUGUGGUGCUCGAGGACUGGAGAGGAGACUGGAAUUCAUGGUGUAGCAGUGAAAUGCGUAGAGAUCAUGAGGAAGACCAGUGGCGAAGGCGGGUCUCUGGACAGUUCCUGACACUGAGGCACGAAGGCCAGGGGAGCAAACGGG
Molecule: ribosomal RNA, 253 nt
Filed under: uncultured bacterium
Lineage: Bacteria
Description: partial 16S ribosomal RNA
Rfam family: Bacterial small subunit ribosomal RNA
Source: RNAcentral